UAUGCCACAGCCACAGCAACUUGGGGUCUUAGCCGUGUCUGCGACCUACACCACAGCUCACGGCAUUGCCGGAUCCUUAACCCACUGAGUGAGGCCAGGGAUCUAACCCUUGUCCUCAUGGAUGCUGCACCAUGACAGAAACUCCGUGGGCUGCUAUUUUAGAUGCAGGACAUCAGGGAAGGCUUUUGGAUGAGGUUGUGAGGCUUGAAUUGAAACCUGAAGGGCUUGGCAAGCCUAUCAUGGAAAGAGCCAGGCUAGACUGUUUCAGGCAUGGGAAUGGCAAGGACCAAGGGCUUGGGACAGGAAAGAGGCCACUGUGCUGCCCUGUGAAAGUGAGGUCAGGGGGUGAGGUGGGGGAAGAGGGAGGAGGCAGCUCAGUAUGCACUGUGUGGUCGGGGUGAGGGGUACCAGUUUUAUGCUGGGUAAAGCAAGAGGUAGAAGGAGAUACUCCUUUCUAUCUGCUCAGAGAGCAGGAGCAUGUGAUGUAAACCACACAUAAGAAAGAAAAACUGUAUGAGAUCCGCUUCCUUCAUCACUGGUCCUGGCAGUGUAGCCCUCACCUGGCAGAUUAAUCAGGCACACAGAGCAGGACAUGUUUGAAUGGAUGGACAUAUGGACAGACAAUUUAGGGACAUACCUCCUGGGGGGACAGAAGCCUAUUAUCUUUUAUUUUUUGAGGUGUUUGUAGAACACAGACAUAAAAUUCCAAGACUAAUACAACAGCCACCCAGAAUUUAUGGCACUUAAUGUUUUGGCAUAUUUGUUUCAGGCCUUUGUGAAGUGUGUGUGUGUGUGUGUGUGUAUGUGAGAGAGAGAAAGGUCUUUUCAAUUCCCAUCCACAUUUGCUUUCUCCAACCUACAGGCAGCCAUGUAGUGCGUUGGCUAUAUAUAUAUAUAUAUUUUUUUUUUGGUCUUUUUAGGGCCACACCCAUGGCAUAUGCAAGUUCCCAGGCUGGGGGUUGAAGUAGAGCUGCAGCUGCCGGCCUAUGCCACAGCAAGACUAGAUCUGAGCCUCAUCUGCGACCUACACCACACCUUGAGGCAACGCCAGAUCCUUAACCCACUGAGUGAGUCCAGGGAUCAAACCCAAGUUCUCAUGGAUGCUAGUGUAGGAUUUAUUACCACUGAGCCACAACAGGAAUUCCAAUGAUGGUUUUUUUUUUGUUUGUUUGUUUGUUUUGUCUUUUUGCCUUUCUUGAGCCGCUCCUGCAGCAUAUGGAGGUUCCCAGGCUAGGGGUCCAAUUGGAGCUAUAGCCACUGGCCUACACCAGAGCCACAGCAACGCGGGAUCCAAGCUGCAUCUGCGACCCACACCACAGCUCAUGGCAACGCUGGAUCCUUAACCCACUGAGCAAGGCCAGGGAUCGAACCCACAACCUCUUCGUUAACCACUGCGCCACGACAGGAAUUCCCCAAUGAUGAUGUUUUGAUCGAUGUUUUUCAUUCCUCUUCUCUGUGACAUCCCGCCACCCCACCCCCACCCUCACCCCAUAGAAUGGAGGCGCCUGUCCUCUCUUCAUUGCCCUCCCCACCCCCAUCCCCCGCCAGGGAGCUCUGCAAGGGAGCAAAGUGUGUAUGAAGGAGGGAGGGAGGGACAGGUUAGUUUCCUGGGCCUGAAACUAAAUGACAGUGUGUGAAACUAAAGCUGGAUUUUGCUGAUCUGUUGGUUCUUACCCAUGUGCACUCUCCACCCCAGCUUUUUUUAAAAAUUUUUUAAUUUUUGUCUUUCUUUUUAGAGCCACACCUAGGGCACAUGGAGGCUCCCAGGCUAGGAAUCCAGUUGGAGCUGUAGCUGCCGGCCUACACCACAGUCACAGCAAUGCAAGAUCUGAGCCACGUCUGUGACCUCUACCACAGCUUACAGCAGUGCUGGAUCCUUGACCCACUGAGCAAGGCCAGGGAUGGAACCCGCAACCUCAUGGGUCCUAGUCAGAUUUGUUUCCACUAUGCUAUGAUGGGAACUCCCCACCCACGCCAACCUUUUAAAAUGUCCAGGCAGGCAAGGUCCUCUCACAGGUGCUUGUGUAUCAGCCCAAGUAGCUACUAAUCCACCUGUGCCACCUUGGCCCGCCCAGGUUCCCCCGUGAUGAAGGGAGCAUCUCUCCUGCUCCAUGGGUGCCCAAAGCUGGGGACAGAUCAAAAGACCCAGGGUUUCUUGGGUCUUGUGUGAACAUAGGGUUUGAUAGGAUGGCAGAUCACAGCCACCAGGCUGAGUACAAAACCCACUUCCCUUCUGCUCUAAUUCUCAACCAGCCCUGAUCCCCCUGGUAGUUUUUCCCCACCUCUAAGUCUCCAGCCCACUGUUCCUUCCUGAUUUUGCUAGACAAAAUCUUUUUUGCUCGUGUGCCUCUAAACCCCAUGUGCAAGCAGAGCUCAGGUCUGUCCUCUGCAUCCAAUCUCCUGCCAGGACCUCCUGGGAUGGAUCGGUGGGUACCAGCAUAUGGAGAAGGUGGCAGUCACUGGCCAGGUGGAUCUCAGCUCAGUUCCACCCGGACGGGCUGCUCCACCACAGGAGGCCAUGGGAGUCACUGAGAGAUGGAAAUGGUUGAUGGCUUUCUUCUCCUGGUAGAAGUUUGUGUUAGAUUUGUUUCUAAUGAUGAAGUUGCACUUAAGUCAUUUUGCAGGUGGGGAGGUCAGGGAGUUGAAUUCAUUCAGAUCAAACUUAACUGGUUUGCAUGAUACUUGUUAGAUUAUCUUUUAAACCCCUCUUUCACCUGAUCUCUGUAUGUGAAAUAGUGAAAUGCUUUCGUAUUUAUCUCCCCGUACCAAGAGAGGUAUGGAUAUGUGGAGAGAUUAAUUUAUUAAAGGGCAAGUGAAGUUAUAGCCCCUUCCCUUUUUUGUUUUUUUAUUUUUAUUUUUAAUCAUUUUGCCAUGUCCACGGCAUGCAGAAGUUCCCGGGCCUGGGAUUGAAUCCCAGCCCCAGCAGUGAAAACGCCCAAUCUUUAACUUCUAGGCCACCAGCCCCUUCAUUUUUUAAAAUAUUACUUUCAACUCUAAUAACUGUUUCUAAAAUUUGACUCUAAGCAUCAGUGAAAUUGGGGACCACGACUGCUUACUCCCGUCAUCCUUUUAGCACCUGGCACCGAGGCACUUAGUGCUGCCGUAAUGCACAAAUAAAGAAUUUAUUGCAGGAUCUGCCACAUUGGAGCUGUCUGCUGGAGGAUGUAUUAUGUAAGAAGCUCGUGUGAAGCUUUAAAAUUGUAUCAGAUGAAGUAGGUGAAGUCCCUAGAGGAGGUGAAUCAGUGGGAGGAGGCUGUGAUGGUUUAUUUCUGUUCCCGCCUGGUACAGGCCCAGGAGGGUCUGCUGGCUGAUCCAAUGUAAAGCCUACAUGGCAGGCUGGGGGGCUGAUGGGCCCACAGCAGACCCAUGGGUUGGAGGCAUGGAGGAAGCCCAGCGGCAGCAGGCCUGGUUUGGCCCCAGGGCUGUGCGUGGGAUGAAAGUUGCAGGCCUCAUGGGCUCGGUAAAGUGGACUGGCCAUGUCCAUUUGGCAUUUAUUACAGCCACAGGGCUGGUUCACGACUCCAGGCGGGGGACAGGGGACUCUCUGCUGAAUUUCUCCUGGCUGCUUCUGUAUGGGCAUUAGCUUGGUUCUUUCCAGACUCUGAUGCAGCCCUAGCAGUUCCCAUGUUUACAUGUUAUAGGCGUGGCCACAGUGGGGGACGGUCCUGAUCCCCGGCCUGGCCCAAAUACUGCAUUGCUGAGCAACAUGAAAUAAUAGUUCCAUCAGCCACAGCCAGGCCUGGGGAUGAAGUCAGAGCCACACAGGACUCCCCAGGGCCCACCUGGUGGCGAUGAGUAAAUAGUCCUAGGGAAGAAAUUUAAUUAGGAAUCCAGUUUACACAGAAAAAUGUCUUUGGUGUUUAAAAUAAUUAAUAUUUUUACAAGUUGCUUUCAGGUUUUCAUUUGACCUGUGGGGGUGCAGGACAGUAGUGGAGCUACAGAAAGAUUAGGCUAGAUAUGUGGGUCCAGAAAAUAGCAAAAUGCGGUGUUGAGAAGAAGUGGGCAUCCGCCAGUUACUCACACUUGAUCUUAUCUUUUUCCAAAGCCUCGGUUUACAGCUCCAAGACGUGGGGGUGAUGAUUCGUGCUUGUCUGUAUCAUAAGAUUCUGCUGAAGAUUAGGUGGGUGGUUUGCCCCAGCCUCUCCUCUUCUCUCAUUCCUUAGGCUGUCCCUAGGUGUCUUAAUUUCUCAGGUGCAGAAUCAGGUGUUUCUCCAUCAAACAACCGAAACUAUCCAGAAAUCUGAUCUCCCACCUUGUUGCACUGGCUUAUUUUUUGGCAGUUUCUCCCUUCUCCUCACUUCAUUUCUGCUUCUCUUGUCUUGGUUUAGGCCAUCAUCUUCUGUUGCUGGAUGCUUUUGUAGCCACUUAACUGAUCAUGCCUUCAGUCUCUCUCUUUUGCACCCAUCCUCCUCUUUGGAGCCAGGAUGAUCUGUUGUGUGUGUGUGUGUGUGUGUGUGUGUACACGUACGUACGUAUGUAUUUAUCCUGUAUGAUAAAAAGUCCUUAGCUCAUUAUUUAAUACAAAA
This 4526-nucleotide long non-coding RNA is filed under the name Sus scrofa (pig). RNAcentral's name for it is "lncRNA (ENSSSCG00035035980.1)". Lineage: Eukaryota; Metazoa; Chordata; Mammalia; Artiodactyla; Suidae. The record is from RNAcentral.